UAAAUGAGAGUCUACAUGUUUGAAACCUCUCUCGUACCAAGUCUAUAUAUUGUAGAAUGCUUGGUGUUUGUGCAGGUUAGGGUUAUGGUAGAUCACAUGCUUUGCGAGCCUUAUAAAUCACUAGCUAUUUUGUAACCAAAAAAGCAUACGGUGAUCGAUGACCGGAUCUCUCUAGUUCAAUCCUAAUGAGAAGCCUUACAUUUUAUCCAAGUGUGAGAUACUUACAUGCACAUUACAUUAAAUAUCGAAACCGAUUUAGCUGGAUUUAGGUGACCACUGCAGGCGAGCUUAAUUUGAUAUCAACAGUGAUAUCAUGGUAAACCUAUGCUCGCAUUUAUAUUACAAUAUUGUCUAAUAUUACAAGUAACAACCUCUAUAUGCUCCAAAAUAGAAUUAGAUACGACAGCUUUGUUAAAGAUUGGUGAAGCCUCCCAAGCCAUCAAAAUCUAUUUGAAUUGUCAAGUCACAAUCUUGUCACAC
RNAcentral lists this long non-coding RNA (480 nucleotides) under Phoenix dactylifera (date palm). RNAcentral's name for it is "long non-coding RNA (PDAC_LNC001214)". Lineage: Eukaryota; Viridiplantae; Streptophyta; Magnoliopsida; Arecales; Arecaceae. The record is from RNAcentral.